CUCAUCAUCCACUUUUGGUUCAUGCAACCAUUUUCUAUUCUCCAUUCUGUAUAAAUUCAACACUCUCCUACACUUUUCUUCAACCAUUCACUGCACAACUCAUUGUGCCAUUCGUUGCCUUAUUGCAGAUAAGACCAACCAUUCUUCCUUCAGUUCUGUAUCAAGAUGGCAUCAGUGCAUGCUAAUGUGACAUCACUUGUUUGCAAGAAUGGCAACCAUGCUUCUCAAUCGAAAUUUCCAAGUUCUACAUUCUUGCCUGGAUUUGAUGUUGUUGGACGUGUUUCAAGUGCUUGGAAGAAGGAACUUGUUCCACCUUCCAUGACCUUGGUACCUAGAGCCACAUUAACAUUUGAUCCUCCAACUACCAAUUCAGACAAAACCAAUCAAAAGAAGCACACUAUUGACCCUGCUUCUCCUGAUUUUCUUCCCCUUCCUUCCUUUGAACAGUGCUUUCCAAAGAGCACUAAAGAACACAGGGAAGUGACUCAUGAAGAAACUGGUCAUGUGCUCAAAAUUCCCUUUCGUAGAGUUCACCUCUCUGGGGAGGAAGGACACUUUGAUACCUAUGACACUAGUGGUCCCCAAAAUAUAAACCCCAGGAUAGGACUCCCAAAAUUGCGUCAAGAGUGGGUUGACAGGAGGCAGAAAAUAGGUCCACCAAGAUUUACUCAGAUGUACUAUGCCAAGCAGGGAAUUAUCACUGAGGAGAUGCUUUAUUGUGCCGCUCGUGAGAAGCUUGACCCAGAGUUUGUGAGGUCAGAAGUUGCUCGUGGACGUGCUAUCAUUCCUUCCAACAAAAAACACUUGGAGUUAGAGCCCAUGAUUGUUGGAAGAAACUUUUUGGUGAAAGUAAAUGCCAAUAUUGGAAAUUCUGCAGUUGCUAGCUCCAUAGAAGAGGAGGUUUACAAGGUUCAGUGGGCAACUAUGUGGGGAGCUGAUACAGUCAUGGAUCUCUCAACUGGUCGCCACAUCCACGAAACUCGAGAGUGGAUCUUACGCAACUCCUCUGUACCAGUUGGAACUGUACCUAUUUAUCAAGCACUUGAAAAAGUUAAUGGAAUUGCUGAAAAUCUUACCUGGGAGGUUUUCAGGGACACCCUGAUUGAACAAGCUGAACAGGGUGUAGAUUACUUCACCAUCCAUGCAGGAGUUCUUCUGAGAUAUAUUCCAUUAACAGCAAAACGCAUGACAGGAAUUGUCUCCAGGGGAGGAUCUAUUCAUGCUAAGUGGUGCUUAGCUUAUCACAAAGAGAAUUUUGCUUAUGAGCACUGGGAUGACAUUCUUGACAUCUGCAAUCAGUAUGAUGUGGCCCUAUCCAUUGGUGAUGGUCUAAGACCUGGAUCCAUCUACGAUGCAAAUGACACGGCUCAAUUUGCUGAACUCUUGACCCAAGGAGAACUGACCCGUAGAGCAUGGGAAAAGGAUGUGCAGGUGAUGAAUGAAGGACCUGGACAUAUCCCAAUGCACAAGAUUCCUGAAAACAUGCAGAAACAGUUAGAAUGGUGUAAUGAAGCACCUUUUUACACCCUUGGUCCUUUAACAACUGAUAUUGCUCCUGGCUAUGAUCACAUUACCUCUGCAAUCGGUGCUGCAAAUAUUGGUGCACUUGGUACAGCUCUUCUCUGUUAUGUGACUCCAAAAGAACACCUUGGGUUGCCAAACCGGGAUGAUGUUAAGGCUGGAGUGAUAGCUUAUAAGAUAGCAGCUCAUGCAGCUGAUUUAGCCAAAUGUCACCCACAUGCUCAGGCCUGGGAUGAUGCGUUAAGCAAGGCAAGAUUUGAAUUUCGAUGGAUGGACCAGUUUGCUUUGUCAUUGGAUCCAAUGACAGCCAUGGCCUUCCAUGAUGAAACCUUGCCAUCAGAUGGUGCGAAAGUGGCACAUUUCUGUUCAAUGUGUGGCCCUAAAUUUUGCUCCAUGAAGAUAACAGAAGAUGUGAGAAAGUAUGCUGAGAAAUAUGGCUAUGGAACUGCUGAGGAAGCUUUGCAGCGUGGGAUGGAUGCUAUGAGUGCUGAAUUUCAAGCUGCCAAGAAAACUAUCAGUGGGGAGCAACAUGGUGAAGCUGGUGGAGAGAUUUACUUGCCAGAAGCUUACGUAAACUCCAAGGAGAGGACUGCAUGAAUGGAGUAAAUCAUUUGAAAGAACAUGGAGCUAGCUUCCCAGCUGGCCUCUCAGGGGGUGCCUGAAUCUGUAUAAGCUCUCGCUAUCAAGAUAGAAAGCUAGCAGAUCAGGCUGAGACAGUCCCUUUGAACCUGAUCAGGGUGAUGCCUGCGCAGGGAGCGUGCAUUUUUCUCUUUUUUAUGCUUCUGCAGGAAUUGCGCGUUGUAUACGCAAUUUGGACCAGCUAAUACUGGGAUGCAGCAGACAGCUCGUUGGCCAUGCCAUUUGGUCAUGGUUAGAAGUGUUUAAAAUGUACGGCUGCAUGAUCUGAAUUAGUAGUAUACUGUCCUUAGAUUCAAGAUCUUAUAAUUCAGCAUAAAAUCCACCUUCACAUAUAAGAAGAGAAAUGCUAGCAACACUAUUCAACAAUUUUUUUAUCAAGGAAAUUCAUGCGGGUCCUACUGCUGUAGCUCUAUUUUUCAAUUAGUUUUAGUCUCUUAUUUUGUAGUGAGUUUCAUAUGGACUUCAGUAAAAGGUAAAGAAUGUUUUGAAAGAAUGUCAUGUUUUUUAAGUCUCUGAUGAGACAAACAUGCUAGUUAUAAUCAGGCUAUGUUUUGAGCAAGAUUGAAUAUUAUGCAAAUGUAAUUAUUUCUGUACA
Molecule: RNA transcript, 2755 nt
Organism: Vigna angularis (adzuki bean)
Lineage: Eukaryota; Viridiplantae; Streptophyta; Magnoliopsida; Fabales; Fabaceae
Gene name: phosphomethylpyrimidine synthase, chloroplastic
Exons: 7
Source: RefSeq, a predicted model, not a curated record